Molecule: ribosomal RNA, 425 nt
Filed under: uncultured bacterium
Lineage: Bacteria
Description: partial 16S ribosomal RNA
Rfam family: Bacterial small subunit ribosomal RNA
Source: RNAcentral
GUUAGGAAUAUUGGACAAUGGGCGCAAGCCUGAUCCAGCCAUGCCGCGUGAGUGAUGAAGGCCUUCGGGUUGUAAAGCUCUUUAGCCGAUGAUUAUAAUGACUGUAGUCGGAAAAUAAGCCCCGGCUAACUUCGUGCCAGCAGCCGCGGUAAUACGAAGGGGGCGAGCGGUAUUCGGAAUCACUGGGCGUAAAGCGUGCGUAGGCGGCUUUGCAAGUUGGGAGUGAAAGCCCAGGGCUCAACCCUGGAAUUGCUCUCAAAACUGCAAGGCUCGAAUUCGGGAGAGGAUAGCGGAAUUGUCAGUGUAGCAGUGAAAUGCGUAGAUAUUGACAGGAACACCAGUGGCGUAAGCGGCUAUCUGGACCGAUAUUGACGCUGAGGCACGAAAGCGUGGGGAUCAAACAGGAUUAGAAACCCUAGUAGUCC